RNAcentral lists this ribosomal RNA (449 nucleotides) under uncultured bacterium. RNAcentral describes it as "bacterial SSU rRNA". It matches the Rfam family "Bacterial small subunit ribosomal RNA", at positions 29 to 524 of the family's 1533-position model. The record is from RNAcentral.
AACGAACGCUGGCGGCAGGCCUAACACAUGCAAGUCGAGCGCCCUCUUCGGAGGGAGCGGCGGACGGGUUAGUAACGCGUGGGAACGUGCCCUUCUCUAAGGAAUAGCCACUGGAAACGGUGAGUAAUACCUUAUACGCCCUUCGGGGAAAGAUUUAUCGGAGAAGGAUCGGCCCGCGUUAGAUUAGAUAGUUGGUGGGGUAACGGCCUACCAAGUCUACGAUCUAUAGCUGGUUUGAGAGGAUGAUCAGCAACACUGGGACUGAGACACGGCCCAGACUCCUACGGGAGGCAGCAGUGGGGAAUCUUAGACAAUGGGCGCAAGCCUGAUCUAGCCAUGCCGCGUGAGUGAUGAAGGCCUUAGGGUCGUAAAGCUCUUUCGCCUGUGAUGAUAAUGACAGUAGCAGGUAAAGAAACCCCGGCUAACUCCGUGCCAGCCGCCGCGGUAAU